AGAGUUUGAUCCUGGCUCAUGAUGAACGUUGGCGGUGUGCCUAAUACAUGCAAGUCGAACGGAGUUAGUAGCAAUACUGGCUCAGUGGCGAACGGGUGAGUAACGCGUUGGUGAUCUGCCUUGAAGUGUGGAAUAACGUUUCGAAAGGAACGCUAAUACCGCAUGUGCUCUCGAUUUUCAGAAAGUUGAGAGUAAAGGAUUUAUUCGCUUCAAGAGGAGCCUGCGUCCCAUCAGCUGGUUGGUAGGGUAACGGCCUACCAAGGCUAUGACGGGUAGGGGACCUGAGAGGGUGGCCCCCCACAAUGGAACUGAAACACGGUCCAUACACCUACGGGUGGCAGCAGUAGGGAAUAUUAGAAAUGGACGAAAGUCUGAUCUAGCAACACCGCGUGUGCGAAGAAGGCCUUCGGGUCGUAAAGCACUUUUUGGAAGGAAUAGGAAGGAAUGUACUUCCAGAAUAAGUCUCGGCUAACUACGUG
Molecule: ribosomal RNA, 479 nt
Filed under: bacterium enrichment culture clone 19
Lineage: Bacteria
Description: bacterial SSU rRNA
Rfam family: Bacterial small subunit ribosomal RNA
Source: RNAcentral